Brassica rapa (field mustard) is the source of this 451-nucleotide long non-coding RNA. RefSeq lists it as uncharacterized. Lineage: Eukaryota; Viridiplantae; Streptophyta; Magnoliopsida; Brassicales; Brassicaceae. The record is from RefSeq and is a predicted model, not a curated record.
UAUAUGUUCACAUUUAAGGUUUUCUACAAUAAACACACAAAAUAUUUAUUUACAGUGAAGAGUUACAAUGUGCCGACCUCAACAGAGGACCCAAACCAACAUGCUCUAAAACACCAAAGAAUGUUUGGUGUUGCAGCAACAAUUCACACUGCCGGGAAACCAAAGCGCUAUGUGAGAAGAUUUGUUGGGUCUGCGGUUGAAUUUUUCUGAAGAGAACUUCUAUAAUUAUUUAUUCCAAAUAUUUUUUUACUUCCAUUAGUCUAAAUUCGAAUAAUAAAUAGUAAUUCUUAUUCCAAAUAAGAAUCUAGUAUUAUGAACUAAAUAAUUUGGUAUACCUUCGAAAGAGAUCGAAAUAUAUAUUGUUGCUUAUGGCUUUCUUCAAUUGUAUUUUAGAAGUUUAUAAAUGUUAUGUAAAAUUGAGAAUAAAACUAUUUUAGACUGUUUAACAGAA